GCCUGCAGGAAGCUCCAUUUCUCCCACAGGAGGUAGCUGGAGGAGAUGAAAUAUUUUUGUAUACUUGAAAUGUUAUCGUAUGAAAUUAUAACUGAUUUCUCGUUCCAUAGAUACUUUACUGAUUUUUAAUAUCUGCAGUAUUUGGCUUGAGUGCUUAUGAUGUCACAGCCUCUCCUGAAAAGAAGUACAUGAGUUCAGAUAGCAAUCAUUCCUCUCUGGUAACAUUAAGGGAAUAUGGGCCUAAAAAUCCAAGAAUUUCAAGGAAGAGAUGACUAAGGAUGCGACCUAUUAAAUAUUCUGCAAAUUUCAGUGUAUUUCACUGAGAAAUUUGGCUUAAUUUCACCCUUCCUUGCUAUCUAUACCACUUCAGUAAAUUCUGAACUAUUGAAUUAUCCCAUCAAAGUACUUCUUAUUUGACUAAUGUAAAUGAUAACUAGUAGGUAUUAUCAAAAGUUAAUAUUCAAAACAACUUGUGAAAUGUUUGCAUUUUGCCUGUUUUCCUUCUACUCCUUAUUAUUGUUGCUUUUCAUUAGAGUAGCAUACUUUGUUGCUG
Hypanus sabinus (Atlantic stingray) is the source of this 553-nucleotide long non-coding RNA. RefSeq lists it as uncharacterized. The transcript is spliced from 3 exons. Lineage: Eukaryota; Metazoa; Chordata; Chondrichthyes; Myliobatiformes; Dasyatidae. The record is from RefSeq and is a predicted model, not a curated record.